This 566-nucleotide long non-coding RNA is filed under the name Triticum aestivum (bread wheat). Its description in RNAcentral is "long non-coding RNA (TAES_LNC019610)". Lineage: Eukaryota; Viridiplantae; Streptophyta; Magnoliopsida; Poales; Poaceae. The record is from RNAcentral.
UCUGAAAAUGCAUUCGAUUCACCGUUACUUGAUUAACUGUCCACGAAAUAAACGGGAUUUUAGUGCUCACAAGUUAAUUAUACACGGGAUAUACAGCUGGUACCGCUCUACUAUUACUUAAUUACUCCCUCCGUUCUUAAAUAUAAGUCCUUUUAGAUAUUUUAAAUGGACUACAACAUACGGAUGUAUAUAGACAUAUUUUAGAGUAUAGAUUUACUUAUUUUACUCUGAAUGUAGUCACUCGUUGAAAUUUCUAAAAAGACUUAUAUUUUGGAACGGAGGGAGUAUUACACAUGCAUGCAUAUCCAGUACAGUGAUCGAUGUACUACAAAGAAAUCACUCGUAAAAACAUGGGUUACAUACAGCGAUCCACUAGCUAGUUAUAAUUCAGUAAGUCACUUGGUUCCCCAGAUUAGCUUGUUGUGGAGUACGUACGCUCAGAGCCACCAGACGAGCGCCGCGGCCGCGAGGGAGGCGGCGCCGGGAACACUCCAGCCGACCCCGCGGCCGGCACGAGAACCAGCCGGCCUGCUGUUUCCGCCCGCCCCCGGAAUAAUCGCAGCGCC